Long non-coding RNA from Nycticebus coucang (slow loris), 842 nucleotides. RefSeq lists it as uncharacterized. The transcript is spliced from 6 exons. Lineage: Eukaryota; Metazoa; Chordata; Mammalia; Primates; Lorisidae. The record is from RefSeq and is a predicted model, not a curated record.
AAUAUCGAUAUUUAUUAGAUUGUUCCUGCCUUCAGUGAAUACACAGUUCAGCAGGCUUUUAAAAUGAGCAAGAGCAGCUUUUACAUGGGCCUAAAACACUAAGAGGAAACUGGACUGGAACUCAGGUCACUGAAAGACAGCUGCGGGGACCAAAGAGGCUCUCCUAUCACCUGCAGAAUCCUUCGUAGUUGACCAUUCAAGAAUACUUUGAUGAGAUCUCUACCUUAUGGCAGUGAUUUUCAACUGGUGUUCUGGGAAAAUGUUUAAAGAUCAUUGAUUAAAUAAUUUUCAGAAGAAGUUCAAAGCACAAGACAGGGUCUCACCCUGACACCUAGGCUGCAACUUCAAACUCCUGGGCACCAGUGAUCCUCCCACCUCUGCCUCCCAAUGUGCUGGGAUUACAGUAUACUGCCUCAUGGACGUCACUUCCUCAAUCUCCCAGAAGAGCAGUUUCUUCCUCAACUCAGUGAGACAACAGGGCGCUGUCUGGAUUUCCCAUACCUGGGCUGUCCCCUGGACACCAACUCCAGGUAUCACGUUGUGCUACAGGAUCCGCUGUGUUACCUCAGCCAAAAUAAUACAUUGCAGCAGAUUGAAUGCAGAGGGAGCUGGGGGAAUCCAGUGAUCUUCCAUCAAGGUAGACAUUAAAGAGACUUGGACUGAAUGACUCCAGUGGCUUUGCCGCCUCUUCAGCCUGCAGGUGACAGAUGGUGGGACUUCUCAGCUUCUAUAAUUGCAUGAUGAAUUCCCAUAAUAAAUCUCUUAUUAAUAUCGAUAUAUCCUAGUGGCUCUGUUUCCCUGGAAAACCCCAGCUAAUGUAGUCACUAUGGCUGAUCCAAGAU